RNAcentral lists this ribosomal RNA (273 nucleotides) under uncultured bacterium. RNAcentral's name for it is "partial 16S ribosomal RNA". It matches the Rfam family "Bacterial small subunit ribosomal RNA", at positions 85 to 354 of the family's 1533-position model. The record is from RNAcentral.
CUGCCGGCGACCGGCGCACGGGUGAGUAACACGUAUGAAACCUGCCCGUAGCAGGGGGAUAAGCGGAAGAAAUUCCGUCUAAUACCGCGUAACAACCCGAGGAGGCAUCUCCUCGGGUUUAAAGGAAGCGAUUCCGGCUACGGAUGGUCAUGCGUCGCAUUAGCUAGUUGGCGGGGUAACGGCCCACCAAGGCGACGAUGCGUAGGGGUUCUGAGAGGAAGGUCCCCCACACUGGUACUGAGACACGGACCAGACUCCUACGGGAGGCAGCAG